RNAcentral lists this ribosomal RNA (491 nucleotides) under uncultured bacterium. Its description in RNAcentral is "partial 16S ribosomal RNA". It matches the Rfam family "Bacterial small subunit ribosomal RNA", at positions 29 to 506 of the family's 1533-position model. The record is from RNAcentral.
AGUGAACGCUGGCGGUAGGCCUAACACAUGCAAGUCGAACGGCAGCACAGUAAGAGCUUGCUCUUACGGGUGGCGAGUGGCGGACGGGUGAGGAAUACAUCGGAAUCUACUUUUUCGUGGGGGAUAACGUAGGGAAACUUACGCUAAUACCGCAUACGACCUACGGGUGGAAGCAGGGGAUCUUCGGACCUUGCGCGAUUGAAUGAGCCGAUGUCGGAUUAGCUAGUUGGCGGGGUAAAGGCCCACCAAGGCGACGAUCCGUAGCUGGUCUGAGAGGAUGAUCAGCCACACUGGAACUGGGACACGGUCCAGACUCCUACGGGAGGCAGCAGUGGGGAAUAUUGGACAAUGGGCGCAAGCCUGAUCCAGCCAUACCGCGUGGGUGAAGAAGGCCUUCGGGUUGUAAAGCCCUUUUGUUGGGAAAGAAAAGCAGCAGGUUAAUACCCCGCUGUUCUGACGGUACCCAAAGAAUAAGCACCGGCUAACUUCGU